GCUCGGGUGGUGGAAUGGCAGACACGCCAGCUUGAGGGGCUGGUGCCCGCAAGGGCGUGUGGGUUCGACUCCCACUCCGAGCACCA
This 86-nucleotide transfer RNA is filed under the name Kiritimatiellia bacterium. RNAcentral describes it as "Kiritimatiellae bacterium tRNA-Leu". It matches the Rfam family "tRNA". Rfam says of the family: Transfer RNA (tRNA) molecules are approximately 80 nucleotides in length. RNAcentral also lists the same sequence under 2 other names. Lineage: Bacteria; Pseudomonadati; Kiritimatiellota; Kiritimatiellia. The record is from RNAcentral.